UCCCAUAUUGUCUAGUGGUUAGGAUAUCUGGAUCUCACCCAGGAGGCCCGGGUUCAAUUCCCGGUAUGGGAA
This 72-nucleotide transfer RNA is filed under the name Daphnia pulex (common water flea). It matches the Rfam family "tRNA". Rfam says of the family: Transfer RNA (tRNA) molecules are approximately 80 nucleotides in length. Their secondary structure includes four short double-helical elements and three loops (D, anti-codon, and T loops). Lineage: Eukaryota; Metazoa; Arthropoda; Branchiopoda; Diplostraca; Daphniidae. The record is from Rfam by way of RNAcentral.